This 417-nucleotide ribosomal RNA is filed under the name uncultured bacterium. RNAcentral describes it as "partial 16S ribosomal RNA". It matches the Rfam family "Bacterial small subunit ribosomal RNA", at positions 360 to 774 of the family's 1533-position model. The record is from RNAcentral.
AAUAUUGGUCAAUGGAUGCAACGCUGUGCUAGCCAAGUCGCGUGAAGGAUGACUGCACUACGGGUAAUAAACUUCUUUUUUAAGGGAAUAUAGUCAGCCACGUGUGGCCUCUUGCAUGUACCUUACGAAUAAGGAUCGGCUAACCCCGUUCCAGCAGCCGAGGUAAUACGGAGGAUCUCAGCGUUAUCCGGAUUUAUUGGGUUUAAAGGGUGCGCAGGCGGAAUAUUAAGUCGGCGGUGAAAGUUUGCAGCUUAACUGUAAAAUUGCCGUUGAAACUGGUUUUCUUGAGUGUAUAUGAAAUAGGCGGAAUUUGUAGUGUAGCGGUGAAAUGCAUAGAUAUUACAAGGAACUCCGAUUGCGAAGGCAGCUUACUAAAAUACAACUGACGCUCAGGCACGAAGGCGUGGGUAUCAAACA